GCUGGGUGUGGUGGCACAUGCCUGUACUCCCAGUGACCUGGGAGGCCGAGGCAGGAGGAUGGCAAGUUCCAGGCCCAACUUGGAAACCUAGUGAGACCCUGUCUCAA
This 107-nucleotide small RNA is filed under the name Marmota monax (woodchuck). The record is from RNAcentral. Lineage: Eukaryota; Metazoa; Chordata; Mammalia; Rodentia; Sciuridae.